GAUGAACGCUGGCCGCGUGCCUAAUACAUGCAAGUCGAGCGAACAGACGAGGAGCUUGCUCCUCUGACGUUAGCGGCGGACGGGUGAGUAACACGUGGAUAACCUACCUAUAAGACUGGGAUAACUUCGGGAAACCGGAGCUAAUACCGGAUAAUAUAUUGAACCGCAUGGUUCAAUAGUGAAAGACGGUUUUGCUGUCACUUAUAGAUGGAUCCGCGCCGCAUUAGCUAGUUGGUAAGGUAACGGCUUACCAAGGCAACGAUGCGUAGCCGACCUGAGAGGGUCAUCGGCCACACUGGAACUGAGACACGGUCCAGACUCCUACGGGAGGCAGCAGUAGGGAAUCUUCCGCAAUGGGCGAAAGCCUGACGUAGCAACGCCGCGUGAGUGAUGAAGGUCUUCGGAUCGUAAAACUCUGUUAUUAGGGAAGAACAAAUGUGUAAGUAACUAUGCACGUCUUGACGGUACCUAAUCAGAAAGCCAGGGCUAGCUACGUG
Molecule: ribosomal RNA, 497 nt
Filed under: uncultured bacterium
Lineage: Bacteria
Description: partial 16S ribosomal RNA
Rfam family: Bacterial small subunit ribosomal RNA
Source: RNAcentral